AUUGAACGCUGGCGGCAUGCCUUACACAUACAAGUCGAACGGCAGCGCGGGAGCAAUCCUGGCGGCGAGUGGCGAACGGGUGAGUAAUAUAUCGGAACGUGCCCAGUAGUGGGGGAUAGCCCGGCGAAAGCCGGAUUAAUACCGCAUGAGACCUGAGGGUGAAAGCGGGGGAUCGCAAGACCUCGCGCUACUGGAGCGGCCGAUAUCAGAUUAGCUAGUUGGUGGGGUAAAGGCCUACCAAGGCAACGAUCUGUAGUUGGUCUGAGAGGACGACCAGCCACACUGGGACUGAGACACGGCCCAGACUCCUACGGGAGGCAGCAGUGGGGAAUUUUGGACAAUGGGCGCAAGCCUGAUCCAGCCAUGCCGCGUGGGUGAAGAAGGCCUCGGUUGUAAGCCUUAGGUGGGAGGAAGGCGAUUCAUGCUAAUACCAUGGAUGAUUGACGUUACCCACAGAAUAA
RNAcentral lists this ribosomal RNA (461 nucleotides) under uncultured bacterium. RNAcentral describes it as "bacterial SSU rRNA". It matches the Rfam family "Bacterial small subunit ribosomal RNA", at positions 29 to 489 of the family's 1533-position model. The record is from RNAcentral.